UCCGGUUUGUCACCGGCAGUCUCCCAUGAGUCCCCAACUGAAUGCUGGCAACAUGGGACGGGGGUUGCGCUCGUUGCGGGACUUAACCCAACAUCUCACGACACGAGCUGACGACAGCCAUGCACCACCUGUGAAGGUGUCCCGAAGGAGGGCCGUGUUUCCACGGCUGGCACCUACAUGUCAAACCCAGGUAAGGUUCUUCGCGUUGCGUCGAAUUAAACCACA
This 225-nucleotide unclassified non-coding RNA is filed under the name uncultured Solirubrobacterales bacterium. Its description in RNAcentral is "contains 16S-23S intergenic spacer region". Lineage: Bacteria; Bacillati; Actinomycetota; Thermoleophilia; Solirubrobacterales. The record is from RNAcentral.